CCUACGGGUGGCUGCAGUGGGGAAUAUUUGGCAAUGGGCGCAAGCCUGACCCAGCAACGCCGCGUGAAGGAAGAAGGCUUUCGGGUUGUAAACUUCUUUUCUCAGGGACGAAGCAAGUGAUGGUACCUGAGGAAUAAGCCACGGCUAACUACGUGCCAGCAGCCGCGGUAAGACGUAGGUGGCAAGCGUUAUCCGGAUUUACUGGGUGUAAAGGGAGUGUAGGCGGGACUGCACGUCAGAUGUGAAAACCACGGGCUCAACCUGUGGACUGCAUUUGAAACUGGAGUUCUUGAGUACUGGAGAGGCAGACGGAAUUCCUAGUGUAGCGGUGAAAUGCGUAGAUAUUAGGAGGAACACCAGUGGCGAAGGCGGUCUGCUGGACAGCAACUGACGCUGAGGCGCGAAAGCGUGGGGAGCAAACAGGAUUAGAUACCCUAGUAGUC
This 443-nucleotide ribosomal RNA is filed under the name uncultured bacterium. RNAcentral describes it as "partial 16S ribosomal RNA". It matches the Rfam family "Bacterial small subunit ribosomal RNA", at positions 338 to 795 of the family's 1533-position model. The record is from RNAcentral.